Molecule: long non-coding RNA, 246 nt
Organism: Lingula anatina
Lineage: Eukaryota; Metazoa; Brachiopoda; Lingulata; Lingulida; Lingulidae
Source: RefSeq, a predicted model, not a curated record
UGCCAUGGUACUGGGACAGAGCAUCUGCUCCUGCAGAAAUAACUUCUACAAACUCUCCUCUGAUAACCAGACUUGUGUUGAUGUGGAUGAGUGCACUGACAGCUACCCAUGUGUUGGGAACAGCAGUACAUGCUUAAAUACCAAUGGUGGCUUCUCCUGCAACUGUACCAAUGACUACAUACUUGGAGCUGACAAGUUGACUUGUGCUGAUCGUAACGGUGGUCUUACUAGCUGGACUAGCUGGGG